RNAcentral lists this ribosomal RNA (253 nucleotides) under uncultured bacterium. RNAcentral describes it as "partial 16S ribosomal RNA". It matches the Rfam family "Bacterial small subunit ribosomal RNA", at positions 524 to 776 of the family's 1533-position model. The record is from RNAcentral.
UACGGAGGGGGCUAGCGUUGUUCGGAAUUACUGGGCGUAAAGCGCACGUAGGCGGCUUUGUAAGUUAGAGGUGAAAGCCCAGGGCUCAACCCCGGAACUGCCUUUAAGACUGCAUCGCUUGAAUCCGGGAGAGGUGAGUGGAAUUCCGAGUGUAGAGGUGAAAUUCGUAGAUAUUCGGAAGAACACCAGCGGCGAAGGCGGCUCACUGGCCCGAUACUGACGCUGAGGCACGAAAGCGUGGGGAGCAAACAGG